RNAcentral lists this long non-coding RNA (365 nucleotides) under Amborella trichopoda. RNAcentral's name for it is "long non-coding RNA (ATRI_LNC002992)". Lineage: Eukaryota; Viridiplantae; Streptophyta; Magnoliopsida; Amborellales; Amborellaceae. The record is from RNAcentral.
AAAUCCCUGAGUGUUAGUGUUUUGUUGUGUUCCCAAUCUAAAAUCCCCGAAGAUUGUCCAUCCUUCAUGCUCACCUGCACUGUCGUGCUCAUCGCUACACUGUUGCUGUUGGGACUCGAUAUGUGAAUAAUAUGGCUGGGAUAGGGCGGCCUCAUAAUCAUCAUCUCUCUCAUUUUCUCUUUGAAUAAUAUGGAAUUAAAAAAAAAAAAAACAAAUUUUCAAAAAAAUCAAUCAUGGAUUAAAAAAAAAAAAUCACAAAUUUUCAAAAAAUUCUAUCAUGGAUUACAAAAAAAAAUUUGAUCAUGGAUUAAAAAAAAAAAAUCACAAAUUUUCCAAAAAUUCUAUCAUGGAUUACAAAAAAAAAU